RNA transcript from Phragmites australis (common reed), 3509 nucleotides. It is a transcript of the gene named inorganic pyrophosphatase TTM2, with no coding region annotated. NCBI's taxonomy places the organism in Eukaryota, Viridiplantae, Streptophyta, Magnoliopsida, Poales, Poaceae. The record is from RefSeq and is a predicted model, not a curated record. The transcript is spliced from 27 exons.
ACCCCUGCCCCGACCCCCGGGCCCCUCGGAGCGUCGGACCGGAAGCGUCCCACACGACGCCAAGCAGCGGCGGCGGCGGCGGCGGCAGUUCCAACUACUUACAAGCAACAAACACUUCUCCCUUCCUUCCCCCGCACUCCACCUCCACUUCCCCGGCGUCGCCAUGGACGCCGACCUCGUGCAGCGCUGCCUCGAGGCCGGCGGCCGUGACCUCCUCCACCCCUCCUCUCCUCCCUCCCCCACCUCCGCAUCCGCCGCCGCCGCCUCCUCCACCUCGUCCAUCCUCCAGUCCCUCCCCCUCCACGUGUCCUUCGACCGCGGCUUCUACCUCCUCGUCAAGGCGAUCCAGGAGCUGCGCGAGCGCAAGGACGGCCUCGUCGUCACCGUCGGCAUCGGCGGACCCACCGGCUCCGGCAAGACCAGCUUGGCGGAGAAGGUAGCGUCGGUUCUGGGGUGCGUCGUGAUCGUCUCCAUGGAGGACUACCGGACGGGGGCCGGGGCCGACGACGGCAGCGACGUCGACGCCAUCGACUUCGACGCCCUCGCGCGCAACCUCCAGGAUCUUGUAAAGGGUAAAGAUACAAUGAUGCCACUGGUUGAUUUUCAAGAGAAGAAACGCACAGGAUGGAGGCAACUGAAGAUUUCUACAUCUGGAGUGGUGAUUGUCGAUGGUGCUUAUGCUCUGCAUUCAACACUAAGAUCAUUGCUUGAUAUCCGGGUUGCUGUGGUUGGUGGUGUUCAUUUUAGCCUGCUUUCUAAAGUUCAGCAUGAUAUUGGAGAUUCUUGCUCAUUGGACUAUCUGAUCGACAGCAUAUUUCCAUUGUUUAGAAAGCACAUUGAGCCAGACCUGCAUCAUGCACAAAUUAGGAUUGAUAACAGCUUUGUCUGCUCAUUCCGCGAACCUUACUACAAGCUUAAGUGCAAAAAUGAGUCACCGGAUGGCCGGAAGUUCUAUUCUUUUGAUCAAAAUAAAGCAGAAACUGAAAACUUUAUUGAGAUGUACCUUAGGCCACCUUUUGCUUCGGAAGAAAUGAAAAUUGAUGAUUGGAUUAAAGUUAGACAGUGUGGAAUAAGAUACUACCUAUCUCUUGGGGACCAGAGGAUUGUUGAUAAGUAUUUCAUAAUCCGUCCAAAAGCUGAGUUUGAGGUUGGACGGACAACUCUUGGAGGAUUGUUGGCCUUGGGAUACAGUGUUGUUGUUAGCUUUAAACGUACAUGCACAUCUGUCAAUAGAGAUCAAUUACUGAUAGCAGCAGAGACUAUUGACACCCUAAACGAGACCUUUUUGGUGUUAAAGGGCCCAAGUAGGAAGAUUGUUGCAGCAGAAGCUUCUAAGCUUGGUAUAAAGGGACCAUGGAUCACAAAGUCAUACUUGGAAAUGAUCUUGGAGAGCAAAGGGGUUCCACGACUUAAUACACCACCACCAGUUUCUAGGACACUGUUAACUGAAAGUCAAGAAAAGAAAAUUGCUGCACCUAAACCAGUUCGUGUUUCCAAUGAUAACAUAGCAAAUCUUGAUGACUUGGUGCAACCGUGGACGAGGUCUCCUCCCAAAAAGUUGGAGCAGGAACAUGUUCUGGCAAAAUGGCAGUUUAUCCCAGAUUCUUCUUCAAGAAAUAACAUCCAGCUAGCUCCCCUGCCAGAUUCUUAUGACUUGGAUAGGGGUCUUCUCCUAUCAAUUCAAGCGAUCCAGGCGUUGCUGGAGAACAAAGGAUUUCCUGUCAUUGUUGGGAUUGGUGGUCCUAGCGGAUCAGGAAAGACAAGUUUAGCUCAGAAGAUGGCAGAUAUAAUUGGCUGUGAAGUUGUAAGCUUGGAAAGUUAUUACAAACCUGAGCAAGUGAGAGAUUAUAAGUAUGAUGAUUAUAGCUCAUUGGAUAUCGCUUUGCUGACUAAGAACAUUAUGGAGAUCAGAAAUAGUCAUAAGGCGAAAGUUCCUUGCUUCGACUUUGAAAAUUUCAGCAGAGAUGGGUUCAAGGAGGUUCAAGUCUCCGAGGAAAGUGGAGUGGUAAUUUUUGAAGGUGUCUAUACUUUACAUCCUGCUAUAAGGAAAUUGCUGGAUUUGUGGAUUGCAGUGGUUGGUGGAGUUCAUUCGCAUCUUAUCGCAAGAAUACAAAGAGACAAGAAUCGUGCUGGCUUUUCUAUUUCCGAGACUGAAAUCAUGACCACUGUGUUUCCGCUCUUUCAGCAAUACAUUGAACCACAUCUUGUCCAUGCUCAUCUUAAGAUUCAAAAUGAUUUUGAUCCUGUGCUCUCUCCUGAAAGCUCACUUUUUGUGUUAAAAAGUAAAAAACAGGUGUCCUACCAAGACAUACUGAAGGUACUGGAUGCUACUAAAGUCUGCAGUUCUGUGCAGAACUUUACUGAUGUUUAUCUAAGGCUUCCUGGCGUACCAUCAAAUGGACAGUUGACAGAAAGCGAGUGUAUCCGGGUCAGAAUUUGUGAAGGAAGAUUUGCAUUGUUAAUACGAGAGCCUAUUAGGGAGGGAAAUUUUAUUAUCCAGCCAAAGGUUGAUUUUGAUAUUAGUGCCAGCACUGUUGCAGGGCUUCUUAAGCUUGGUUACCAAGCUGUUGCAUAUAUUGAAGCUUCUGCAGUGAUUUACCAAGAUGGAAAGAUUCUAAUAGAAGUUGACCAUCUACAAGGCGUGGCGACUCCAUAUCUUCAAAUUAAAGGAACAAAUAAGGAAAUAGUUUCAUCUGCUGCUUCUGCACUCAGCUUGAAUGGUUCAUACACAACAAAGAGCUAUCUUCAAAUUAUUCUGGAGAGUUUACCAGCUGAUGAUAAUGUUUCUGCUGGUAUUCACAAUCAACAAGCUGCGAGGCUGCAGGAACUGGUUGAGUUCAUCCAGUCACAGGGAGGGAACUUCAAUUCAGAUUCAUCUUCACCGAUGCGAGAAAUUUCUUCUACAGAUAGCAUGCUUGAUGAUAUGCAAUCCAGGAUAAGGAAGCUUGAGAGAUGGAAUACAAUAAAUAUGGUUUUGUGGACUAUAUUACUGUCUGCUCUUGUUGGAUAUUCGCUAUACCAAAAAAGGCGGCACUAAGUAAUACCGCUAACCUCAACUGAACAAGUAUGGACAGAUUAAUUAUGCUUUGAGCAGUGAUCUUAAGGGCUUUUUUCCAAUGCGGAGGUGAUGUUUCAGUGCUGAUGAUAUGAUUCCUCUGCCAGUUUGACUGAUAGGUUGGACGUACAUCAUUCAUGGUGUUGGCAGAAUUGACAAAUUCAUGCACACCACAGGUAUACAGUAGCUUAGUUGCUAGUGCUAAUAAGAAAAAAAUAGCAUGCAUUCAACAUCCCUGGGGAACUGAACUGCCACUAAUUCUAUAGGAAAAAGAGGGGGUCUUUCUGAAACAUGGAGGUCUGUGGAUUUUGAUUAUGCUCAUGGUUAGCUAGCAGUAGAAACAAAUAUGAGACAUGUGAGAUGGCCAUCCUGCGUGCUAUCCCAAAUGAUGUCUUUGUUACGAUGUUCUGAUCCCUCAAUGCCUGCAAAAUAAUAGCUGGAGAUUUGAGUGGCA